This 253-nucleotide ribosomal RNA is filed under the name uncultured bacterium. RNAcentral's name for it is "partial 16S ribosomal RNA". It matches the Rfam family "Bacterial small subunit ribosomal RNA", at positions 524 to 776 of the family's 1533-position model. The record is from RNAcentral.
UACAGAGGUGGCAAGCGUUGUUCGGAAUUAUUGGGCGUAAAAGGCUCGUAGGCGGUCUGUUGCGUCGGGAGUGAAAACUCAGGGCUUAACCCUGAGCCUGCUUCCGAUACGGGCAGACUAGAGGUAUGCAGGGGAGAACGGAAUUCCUGGUGUAGCGGUGAAAUGCGCAGAUAUCAGGAGGAACACCGGUGGCGAAGGCGGUUCUCUGGGCAUUACCUGACGCUGAGGAGCGAAAGUGUGGGGAGCGAACAGG